Molecule: non-coding RNA, 27 nt
Filed under: Mus musculus (house mouse)
Lineage: Eukaryota; Metazoa; Chordata; Mammalia; Rodentia; Muridae
Source: RNAcentral
UCCAUAGGUUGUGAAUGUGUCUUGGUC